CCCCUGCCCACUGCUUGACAUGGACCUGCCAAUCUUGAACCGGCCUGACUGACAAGAGGUCGAAGAAGUGCCUGCUGCCUCCUUCUCCUUGACCCUGAAGACCUUCAUCUCUCGAGCAUUUGGCAACUUGCAAUUAUACUGCAUGACAUCAUCCUGAGCUUCAGGAACAGCUACGAGAAACAAUGGAGAAUCCAUGGAUGCCGAGCGCCUAAUAGGCUUGGGAGUGGCCCUUCCAUUCUCCUCCGCUGUUGCCGUUGUGCCGUCACUUUGAGUGGAUGACGAGUCCUCGUAGUCCUCUGAGCCCUCAGUCUCCGAUUCAGAUUGAGACAACGACAUUUCCUCGUGAGCAUGGUGUUCUCCCGAUGGGUCACCACCUGCCUCAGCCUCCGCGGCACCGACGGGGAGAUCGGAGGGAAUGACGACGACGGGGGAACGGCAGAUUGGGCAGUUGACGUGGGCGCGGAGCCAGGUGUCGAUACAGGGCGCAUGGAACGGGUGCGCGCAGCGCGGGAGCAGGCGCACCAGCUCCCCAUCGCUGAACUCGCCGAGGCACACCGCGCAGUCCCCGCCCCGGCCCACCCCGCGGCGGUACUCCACUGCGGCUAUGGACGCAAUGGUGGCCUCGUCGAGCCCCACUGUCCGGAUGUACCACACGUGGUGCACCACCCCUCCACCGCCUCCGCCCUCCUCCUCGUCGC
This 698-nucleotide unclassified non-coding RNA is filed under the name Zea mays. RNAcentral's name for it is "misc RNA Zm00001eb315630". Lineage: Eukaryota; Viridiplantae; Streptophyta; Magnoliopsida; Poales; Poaceae. The record is from RNAcentral.